UGGGGAAUAUUGCGCAAUGGGGGGAACCCUGACGCAGCCAUGCCGCGUGAAUGAAGAAGGCCUUCGGAUUGUAAAGUUCUUUCGGUAUUGAGGAAGGUUGAUGUGUUAAUAGCACAUCAAAUUGACGUUAAAUACAGAAGAAGCACCGGCUAACUCCGUGCCAGCAGCCGCGGUAAUACGGAGGGUGCGAGCGUUAAUCGGAAUAACUGGGCGUAAAGGGCACGCAGGCGGUUAUUUAAGUGAGGUGUGAAAGCCCCGGGCUUAACCUGGGAAUUGCAUUUCAGACUGGGUAACUAGAGUACUUUAGGGAGGGGUAGAAUUCCACGUGUAGCGGUGAAAUGCGUAGAGAUGUGGAGGAAUACCGAAGGCGAAGGCAGCCCCUUGGGAAUGUACUGACGCUCAUGUGCGAAAGUGUGGGGAGCAAACAGGAUUAGAUACCCUGGUAGUCCACGCUGUAAACGCUGUCGAUUUGGGGGUUGGGGUUUAACUCUGGCGCCCGUAGCUAACGUGAUAAAUCGACCGCCUGGGGAGUACGGCCGCAAGGUUA
This 547-nucleotide ribosomal RNA is filed under the name uncultured bacterium. Its description in RNAcentral is "bacterial SSU rRNA". It matches the Rfam family "Bacterial small subunit ribosomal RNA", at positions 355 to 896 of the family's 1533-position model. The record is from RNAcentral.